This 191-nucleotide ribosomal RNA is filed under the name Pseudo-nitzschia pungens. RNAcentral's name for it is "partial Trypanosomatid mitochondrial large subunit ribosomal RNA". The record is from RNAcentral. Lineage: Eukaryota; Bacillariophyta; Bacillariophyceae; Bacillariales; Bacillariaceae.
AAUCAAGAAAAGAAUGAUCAAAAGGCCGAUGGGUCAAGUACCGGUACUGCUUGAUGUGAAGGAGGGGAGGAUCAUUCGUCAAUUAUUUUGUUUGAAAAUCAAACCAAUGAUUAUUCAAAAUCGACCAAGGGUUAUGUUCGCUUCAAACAAAGCAUGUUCGAUCAGAUAAAGAUGAAGGAAAAUAAAAUGUU